Molecule: long non-coding RNA, 1436 nt
Filed under: Chloebia gouldiae (Gouldian finch)
Lineage: Eukaryota; Metazoa; Chordata; Aves; Passeriformes; Passeridae
Description: Erythrura gouldiae (Gouldian finch) lncRNA (ENSEGOG00005007234.1)
Source: RNAcentral
CUGGAGUAAAACCUCUGCUUUCUGAAAUGUGGAGCAAAAGGACAGUAGUACUUGUUUCUUCCCUGCCCUAUUCUUUGGCUGCGCUAUGUCACGGAAGUUAUUCCUUAUGCAAGCGGAAGUAGUUGUGAACCAGCAGGUACAGAGAACAGUGCUGUGUGUGUAUGUCCUGCAGAAACUCCAGGUGUGGAACUGCCCUUUCUUGAGUUACUUCAAGGGAGUGGUAAUUAUUGGCGUGUAAAUAGCAUAAAUAUCAGUGUAGUAAAGAACUGUACGUGCAUGAACAUAUGUACACAGGGAAUCUACAGCCUUACGCAGCAUCUAAGCAGUGAUUUUAGGGAUCGUCUUUGCAUCUCUGGUGCUGUGCUGAGAAACUAACAGGUGCAGACCUCUCGGCACCCAAUUGAUUUUGGCUUCCUUACUGUGGCCGCUUUUCACGUAGCUGCUCAUGGGUCUUAACCUCACUCCUCUAGCGGCAGCCACAGCAAGCCGGAGAGAGGUAAAUGCCCUUGUUCCAGGAGUUGCAACUUCUAGCCUUGUACUUAAGCUCAAAACAGCCGAGGUACAGGGAGGAAAGCGAAGCUAUGCAGGGCCCUAGGGAUGGCGGCGCUCUCCCGGGCUGAAAAUCCCCUAUCCCAAGCAGACCAGCCUUCCGAAUGAGGCAGGCAGGCUGCCGCGGGGAGAUGGCGCCAGGUAACAGGCCAGAGGAGGGGCUGGUGUCGCCGCCUCAGGGUGAGGGGCAGCAAGACAGGGCUAGGCUGCCCCGUACAUCCCCCCGCCCCAAGCCGGGAGCAGGGCUACGCGCUUCUUCCUCGCCUCUACAGACUUGAUCGAUACGCUGCAGGCUUCUCACGGCGGGAGGGAGCGCAGGAAAUAAAAACAAGUGUGUGCGGCGCUGGGGGAGGGGAAUCCCUGCUCCUGCUCCCAGGCCGAGCCGCCUUGUCCUGUCGCGGAGCCGGGAAAACGAGGGCUUACAGUUCCAUAUUAUUCCUGGUGAGAAUUUCUGCUGGUCUUUUUCUGGCUGCGGGUGGAUGUUUGGAGGAAGCUGCAAUCCAGUGGGAGGACCCGAUGGAGAGAGGGGUUCCCUGCUUCCAGGAUGGAGCAGCCUGUCCUUGGAGGACUGCACCCCAUGGAAGACUGAUCCACACUGCAGCAGUUUUGGGAGGACUGUUUGUCUGUGUGAGGGACUCAUGUUGCAGUGGUUUUGGGAAUGCUGCUGCUCAUGUGAUUGGAACCACACUGGAGAAGUUAAUGGAGACCUGUGUCCCAUGGGAAGGAACCCCACAGUCUCACAGGGGAAGGACUUCUUUCCCUGAGCAGUGGAAGAAGAUCUAAGGUUAUGAACUGACCAAAACCUCUGUGCCCUGUCUCCAUGCACUGUCGGUGGGAAGGAGAAAGGCAUUGGGGGGAAAUAAAGGGGUUUUAAGGGCUUAUUCUCA